RNAcentral lists this long non-coding RNA (959 nucleotides) under Homo sapiens (human). RNAcentral describes it as "HSALNT0227935". Lineage: Eukaryota; Metazoa; Chordata; Mammalia; Primates; Hominidae. The record is from RNAcentral.
CUUUUAAUUCACAGUUCAGGACCCGCCAUGGAAACCCUAUCCAUUCCUGCAUUUGGCAGGAACAGGGAAGCCAAGAGGAAAUCCUAGUACUUGGUGCCUUCCCAUAGGGAGUUUGCAAUCUAAUCUAAAAGACCAGAACACUCUGUCAAUGCAGUCUGAACCAGGAUCCAUUCCCAGGGGGAGCAGCCAAAUUGCUCAGCCAGGUCGUCUUGCAGAGUGGCAUCCUUCCUCUGCAGCUCAUUCUAACUUAGCAUGUGAAUGAGCAUUUAGAGAUGAAGACAGAAUCGAACUGAAUCCCAAAGUCUGACUCACCUGCUUCUUUCCCCUCUCCUGGACAACACAGGGGAAAAAAAAGUACAACUCUUCCCCCACGUAGUACCAGCAGGGUAACCCGAGAACAUCCGUUUAGCACGUCUGUCCCUGCAAAAAGGACCUUCCAGUGACACCAAGCUGAGCGUAUCCUCACUCUAUUUAUAGGUGCUGUUUGUUUAAUUUGAGUCCAGUCUCUAAGAAUAAGUAAUGAACUCAUCUUGGGCACCAGCCAGAGCCUACAACUCUGAGACGACCCGUAAACCCCUUUCCCUUUCCUUCUGGUUCUGGAAGGGAUUCUGUAGUUCAAAGAACAGAUCUGUAAACUCUUUGUCAUCCACAAAUGAUUGACAAAGACUGAAUAUCUCCAGCCCUUCGUUGGUUGAUCUUCGGAUAAAAAGAGACCUCGUUGGGACUCAGAUGUCCCCCAGUAAGGAGGCCAUGGCCUUGGAGAAGCAAAAUCCAUUCCUUUUCAGUAUCCUUCUGACUUGGUAGCAGAAACUGGGGUCAGGUUAUCUUCUAAGGUCUGAUACCAUUCCUGAGAUGCUGUUUUGUUUUGUUUUUUUCAGGCUAUGUGAUAAGGACCAGGAGCCAUGACCCACUUAAACUUUAAACAUCUAACCCCAGAACUGGUUGCACUUGAGUCCAAA